RNAcentral lists this ribosomal RNA (231 nucleotides) under uncultured bacterium. RNAcentral's name for it is "partial 16S ribosomal RNA". It matches the Rfam family "Bacterial small subunit ribosomal RNA", at positions 15 to 235 of the family's 1533-position model. The record is from RNAcentral.
GAUCCUGGCUCAGGAUGAACGCUAGCUACAGGCUUAACACAUGCAAGUCGAGGGGCAGCAUUUCAGUUUGCUUGCAAACUGGAGAUGGCGACCGGCGCACGGGUGAGUAACACGUAUCCAACCUGCCGAUAACUCGGGGAUAGCCUUGCGAAAGUAAGACUAAUACCCAAUGACAUCCCACGAAGACAUCUGAAUGGGAUUAAAGAUUUAUCGGUGAUGGAUGGGGAUGCG